This 301-nucleotide ribosomal RNA is filed under the name uncultured bacterium. RNAcentral's name for it is "partial 16S ribosomal RNA". It matches the Rfam family "Bacterial small subunit ribosomal RNA", at positions 509 to 807 of the family's 1533-position model. The record is from RNAcentral.
CAGCCGCCGCGGUAAUACAGAGGGUGCGAGCGUUAAUCGGAUUUACUGGGCGUAAAGCGUGCGUAGGCGGCUUUUUAAGUUGGAUGUGAAAUCCCUGAGCUUAACUUAGGAAUUGCAUUCGAUACUGGGAAGCUAGAGUAUGGGAGAGGAUGGUAGAAUUCCAGGUGUAGCGGUGAAAUGCGUAGAGAUCUGGAGGAAUACCGAUGGCGAAGGCAGCCAUCUGGCCUAAUACUGACGCUGAGGUACGAAAGCAUGGGGAGCAAACAGGAUUAGAUACCCCUGUAGUCCCUGUCUCUUAUAC